Molecule: ribosomal RNA, 492 nt
Filed under: uncultured bacterium
Lineage: Bacteria
Description: partial 16S ribosomal RNA
Rfam family: Bacterial small subunit ribosomal RNA
Source: RNAcentral
AGUGAACGCUGGCGGUAGGCCUAACACAUGCAAGUUGAACGGCAGCACAGUAAGAGCUUGCUCUUACGGGUGGCGAGUGGCGGACGGGUGAGGAAUACAUCUGAAUCUACUUUUUCGUGGGGGAUAACGUAGGGAAACUUACGCUAAUACCGCAUACGACCUACGGGUGAAAGCAGGGGAUCUUCGGACCUUGCGCGAUUGAAUGAGCCGAUGUCGGAUUAGCUAGUUGGCGGGGUAAAGGCCCACCAAGGCGACGAUCCGUAGCUGGUCUGAGAGGAUGAUCAGCCACACUGGAACUGAGACACGGUCCAGACUCCUACGGGAGGCAGCAGUGGGGAAUAUUGGACAAUGGGCGCAAGCCUGAUCCAGCCAUACCGCGUGGGUGAAGAAGGCCUUCGGGUUGUAAAGCCCUUUUGUUGGGAAAGAAAAGCAGCAGGUUAAUACCCCGCUGUUCUGACGGUACCCAAAGAAUAAGCACCGGCUAACUUCGUG